Sapajus apella (tufted capuchin) is the source of this 1150-nucleotide RNA transcript. It is a transcript of the gene named sorting nexin-3 pseudogene, with no coding region annotated. The record is from RefSeq and is a predicted model, not a curated record. The transcript has a single exon. Lineage: Eukaryota; Metazoa; Chordata; Mammalia; Primates; Cebidae.
GGCGGAAGGAGCCCGUGGCGGCGGCAACUACAGCGAAAUGGCGGAGACCGUGGCUGACACCUGGCGGCUGAUCACCAAGCCGCAGAACCUGAAUGACGCCUACGGGCCCCCCAGCAACUUCCUCGAGAUCGAUAUGAGCAACCCUCAGACGGUGGGGGUCGGCCAGGGCCGCUUCACCACCUACGAAAUCAGGGUCAAGACAAAUCUUCCUAUUUUCAAGCUGAAAGAAUCUGCUGUUAGAAGAAGAUACAGUGACCUUGAAUGGCUGCGAAGUGAAUUAGAAAGAGAGAGCAAGGUUGUAGUUCCCUCGCUCCCUGGGAAAGUGUUUUUGCAUCAGCUUCCUUUUAGAGGCGAUGAUGGAAUAUUUGAUGACAAUUUUAUUGAGGAAAGAAAACAAGGGCUGGAGCAGUUUAUAAACAAGGCUGCUGGUCAUCCUCUGGCACAGAAUGAACGUUGUCUUCACAUGUUUUUACAAGAUGAAAUAAUAGAUAAAAGCUAUACUCCAUCUAAAAUAAGACAUCCCUGAAAUUUGGCAAGAAGGGGCAAAAACGUGACUAUUAAUGAUUGACAUGCACCAGCGAAGAAGUUCUAACUUUUACCAUGCUGCUCAGAAACUGGUAUAACAUGCCUUCAGUAUACUAACACUCAUGCUCGGUUUUGUUUUGGCAGUUGACAAGAAGUUAAUUUGCUUUAGUGAAAAUCCGUCAUUCAAGCCUUUCUAUAUGAAUAGCUCUUUCUUGCUGUUUUAAUGUGGGGCACACUAUAGCCUCACAAACCCGUUAUUCCAAUGUCAUCUGCAGUGUCCUAACUAAAGUUGCUGGCUUGGUCUUAUUUGCACAGUUUUUGUGUCUUCUUUGCUUCUUGCAUUUGAUUAACCACAAUAUUUCUCUUUCCCCCUUUUAAUGUGUCUGUGUCACUUGACCUAAUUUAUGUGUAGGAGCACCACACCAUUGGUUUCCAAUACUGCACACAUAAGACACAUAUAUGUGUGCAGAAAGCAUCUUCCUUUAGGCUUGUAAUACCCUUCACAUGGAAGAUUAAUGAGGGAAAUCUUUAUAAUCUGUAUAAAAACAAAAUCAAAUUUAUACACUAAAAUCAUUUGUCUAAAAAUUUAAGUUGUUUUCAAAUAAAAAUUAAAAUGCAUUUCUGA